Molecule: small RNA, 263 nt
Filed under: Arabidopsis thaliana (thale cress)
Lineage: Eukaryota; Viridiplantae; Streptophyta; Magnoliopsida; Brassicales; Brassicaceae
Description: ATSL009220
Source: RNAcentral
UUUUUAUUUCAUUUUUUUGGUUUACAAGUUGUACAAGAGAAAUAAAUAAACUAAUAAAUACUUGUACUAGGAUUUAUUUACGUAGAGAAGAAAAUAAUAAAAAUAAUUAAGGGGGAGACAAAGGGCAGUGAUGAUUAUGAAAAUACAGAGAGCAAGUGUAGUAGAAAGCUGACAUUAGUAUACACGUAAAGCUCUGUGAAUGUACAUGGUCUACUGUUAGGCUUAGGCCUGCUUCGUUCAGCUAGUUUCUACUGUUUUCGUAU